AUUGAACGCUGGCGGCAUGCCUUACACAUGCAAGUCGAACGGUAACAGGUCUUCGGAUGCUGACGAGUGGCGAACGGGUGAGUAAUACAUCGGAACGUGCCUAGUAGUGGGGGAUAACUACUUGAAAGAGUGGCUAAUACCGAAUGAGAUCUACGGAUGAAAGCAGGGGAUCGCAAGACCUUGUGCUACUAGAGCGGCCGAUGGCAGAUUAGGUAGUUGGUGGGAUAAAAGCUUACCAAGCCGACGAUCUGUAGCUGGUCUGAGAGGACGAUCAGCCACACUGGGACUGAGAAACGGCCCAGACUCCUACGGGAGGCAGCAGUGGGGAAUUUUGGACAAUGGGCGCAAGCCUGAUCCAGCAAUGCCGCGUGCAGGAUGAAGGCCUUCGGGUUGUAAACUGCUUUUGUACGGAACGAAAAGCCCCGGGUUAAUACCCUGGGGUCAUGACGGUACCGUAAGAAUAAGCACCGGCUAACUACGUGCCAGCAGCCGCGGUAA
This 498-nucleotide ribosomal RNA is filed under the name uncultured bacterium. Its description in RNAcentral is "partial 16S ribosomal RNA". It matches the Rfam family "Bacterial small subunit ribosomal RNA", at positions 30 to 523 of the family's 1533-position model. The record is from RNAcentral.